UACAGAGGGUGCGAGCGUUAAUCGGAAUUACUGGGCGUAAAGCGCGCGUAGGCGGCUUUGCAAGUCGGGUGUGAAAUCCCCAGGCUUAACCUGGGAACUGCGCUUGUAACUGGCAAGCUAGAGUGUGGCAGAGGGGGGUGGAAUUCCACGUGUAGCAGUGAAAUGCGUAGAGAUGUGGAGGAACACCGAUGGCGAAGGCAGCCCCCUGGGCUAACACUGACGCUCAUGCACGAAAGCGUGGGGAGCAAACAGG
This 253-nucleotide ribosomal RNA is filed under the name uncultured bacterium. Its description in RNAcentral is "partial 16S ribosomal RNA". It matches the Rfam family "Bacterial small subunit ribosomal RNA", at positions 524 to 776 of the family's 1533-position model. The record is from RNAcentral.